Molecule: long non-coding RNA, 153 nt
Organism: Talpa occidentalis (Iberian mole)
Lineage: Eukaryota; Metazoa; Chordata; Mammalia; Eulipotyphla; Talpidae
Exons: 3
Source: RefSeq, a predicted model, not a curated record
GUUUCUGAUUCAGUAGGUCUGGCAGGCCACAGUGAGCUAGAGGAAUUGGGGCAUUUUGGAGAUUUAUGAGGAAAUAUUUGGAGGAGAAAGUAAAGGGACUAGAGGAAGCAGAAUGCUGCUAAUGAAAGAAGAGCCAUGACAGGGACCUGGUCU